CGGGGUCCCUAACAUGCAAAGUCGUGCGCGAAGGGGAGCAAUCCCUGAGUAGAGCGGCAAACGGGUGACUAACACGUGGGUGACCUGCCUUCGAGUGGGGGAUAACGUCCCGAAAGGGACGCUAAUACCGCAUGACAUUCUGCUUUUGGAAAAGUGGAAAUCAAAGCCGGGGAUCGCAAGACCUGGCGCUUGAAGAGGGGCCCGCGCCUGAUUAGCUAGUUGGUGGGGUAAUGGCCUACCAAGGCAACGAUCAGUAUCCGGCCUGAGAGGGCGGACGGACACACUGGGACUGAGACACGGCCCAGACUCCUACGGGAGGCAGCAGUGGGGAAUUGUUCGCAAUGGACGCAAGCCUGACGACGCAACGCCGCGUGGAGGAUGAAGAUCUUCGGGUCGUAAACUCCUGUCGAGUGGGAAGAAUAGUCUCGGGGCUAACAUCCUCGAGGCCUGACGGUACCACUAAAGGAAGCCCCGGCUAAC
Molecule: ribosomal RNA, 480 nt
Filed under: uncultured Holophaga sp.
Lineage: Bacteria; Pseudomonadati; Acidobacteriota; Holophagae; Holophagales; Holophagaceae
Description: bacterial SSU rRNA
Rfam family: Bacterial small subunit ribosomal RNA
Source: RNAcentral